GCCAGGGGACGGUUGGCAGCCCGAUCCGUUGCCACGACAGACGACAGAACUGGACACCGGAAUCCGAACAACACUGAAACACUGGAAAACUCAUCCCCAUUGCGUCUGCUGUUUUCUGUCGACCAAACGUGUGCCAAACACACACACACACACACACACACACACACACAUACACACACGCGCACACACAAAGACACAGGGUAAGGAAAAGGUUUGGUGUAUGUUUUGGUAUGGUGUCAUUUUAAACACAAAUGACGUUUGAUGGUGGGUUCACCUCACGUGGAUGAAGGCUGACGGUCUGAUCUGUGAACAUGUGACUCCGCAGGAGGUCACGAUGCUGAACUGCCUGCUCUUUCUAUGUAUAUUAUUCCAACAUUAUUAUCACGACACUCAUAUUUUAAUAAAAAAAAAUAUUUUCAG
Salarias fasciatus (jewelled blenny) is the source of this 420-nucleotide long non-coding RNA. RefSeq lists it as uncharacterized. The transcript has 3 exons. NCBI's taxonomy places the organism in Eukaryota, Metazoa, Chordata, Actinopteri, Blenniiformes, Blenniidae. The record is from RefSeq and is a predicted model, not a curated record.